Molecule: transfer RNA, 76 nt
Filed under: Comatermes perfectus
Lineage: Eukaryota; Metazoa; Arthropoda; Insecta; Blattodea; Kalotermitidae
Description: tRNA-Cys
Source: RNAcentral
AGCCUUAUAUUCAUAUUUUGUGAUAAUAGAAUGCAAUUCUAUAGGGGUGGUAUAAUAAGAUUUACUACUAAGGCUU